GGCCGCAUGGUCUGGUGGUGGAAAGAUUUUUUGGUUGGGGAUGGACUCGCGGCCUAUCAGCUUGUUGGUGAGGUAAUGGCUCACCAAGGCGACGACGGGUAGCCGGCCUGAGAGGGUGACCGGCCACACUGGGACUGAGACACGGCCCAGACUCCUACGGGAGGCAGCAGUGGGGAAUAUUGCACAAUGGGCGAAAGCCUGAUGCAGCAACGCCGCGUGAGGGAUGACGGCCUUCGGGUUGUAAACCUCUUUUAGUAGGGAAGAAGCGUAAGUGACGGUACCUGCAGAAAAAGCACCGGCUAACUACGUGCCAGCAGCCGCGGUAAUACGUAGGGUGCAAGCGUUGUCCGGAAUUAUUGGGCGUAAAGAGCUCGUAGGCGGUUUGUCGCGUCUGCUGUGAAAUCCCGAGGCUCAACCUCGGGCUUGCAGUGGGUACGGGCAGACUAGAGUGCGGUAGGGGAGAUUGGAAUUCCUGGUGUAGCGGUGGAAUGCGCAGAUAUCAGGAGGAACACCGAUGGCGAAGGCAGAUCUC
RNAcentral lists this ribosomal RNA (532 nucleotides) under Curtobacterium citreum. RNAcentral's name for it is "bacterial SSU rRNA". It matches the Rfam family "Bacterial small subunit ribosomal RNA", at positions 184 to 729 of the family's 1533-position model. Lineage: Bacteria; Bacillati; Actinomycetota; Actinomycetes; Micrococcales; Microbacteriaceae. The record is from RNAcentral.